RNAcentral lists this long non-coding RNA (3237 nucleotides) under Xyrichtys novacula (pearly razorfish). The record is from RNAcentral. Lineage: Eukaryota; Metazoa; Chordata; Actinopteri; Labriformes; Labridae.
UUUAGCUUGGCAACUGAGGCUUAGGGGGGGAACUGGAUGGAUGAAAGGGCCGACAUGAUGUCGGCGUUCGUCGAAGCUGCGAGGUUGUCCGUUGGAGCUGCGUGGCUGGCCGCUGCAGCCAUAACUUGCGCCCUCUUGAGCGUCUGGGCCGCACCUUCUGCCGAGGCUGUACCGGAAUUGCUGGUGGUAUGUUUACGUUUUACUGCGGCUUUUCGAGGAGUGGAAGGUGGAGGAGUGCUUGCAGGUGGACGCUGGGGCUUGGAGCAGCUCAGGAAAAGCCCAAACAAUUCCCGGUGAGAGGCGCCGAUCGGGGCGGGAAUGUUGUUCAUAAACAGGAACUGUAGCAACUUUGGGAUCGGCCAUUUGUUAAUCGAAGGAUCCGGCGUAUUCUUUCUUGCUAACCUGGAGCUUCUGCGGAGAGAGGAACCUCCCUCCAGGCCGAUCGCAUCCUCUGCAUCGGACUCUUGAGGUGACUCCAAGAUGCAGUCGAACUGCGGCUCGUCCUCGUCGUACGCUGAGGACAUGGUCACGAGGAGCAACGAGGUAAGAACUAACACAAACGUUUUGGCAGGCAUACGGAAAUUGCUGGUUAGCUGUCAGAGCAGAGGAAGAGGCUGGGUUAGUGCAGUUUAAAAUAAGGCGCUCUAUAGGCAAAGGACCAAUAGGAGCUUGGAGUGAAUCAGCUGACUAUCAUCUCGUUGAGGUGGCUACUAGCCAUUGGCUGCAGAUCAGCGCUUGACGUCGUGUCCUGACAGAACUAACGCUAUGCUUCAUUUACCACUUUGUAGAAUGUUUUUGUACUUAAUUUUGACCUGUUGCCCCGUUUGCCUUUGGCUUUUGAGAUUACUCCUAUGGGGAUGCAGAAGAGAAUAAUAAAUAUGGGCUAAGAAGAGCUUUACCCAUCAUACAACAUAGGGCAAAUGGAAUCAAGAUGCAUUAAUCCUUCCAGAUUUCCCACAGAGCUGUUUUUAUGAGAAAUGUGUCUAAUUCUCCCACACUAAUGAACUUAACCUGUACAGACCCUUGGGUACAGCGAUGUAGCUCAAUGAGCUGCACAUACACGAAAUGAAAAGUUUUUUAAAAAAGUGUUUACAGUACAUACGCAGAAGUGAGGAAUAAAAUUAGACAGCCAAGCAGGCUGACUACAUCGAGACAUGCGUCGGUUGUAAAAUAUUUGUCGGCUAUAACUUACGAAUCUAAACGGUCCGUGAUACUUAACCACGCUGGCUUUCACAAUGGCAACAGUGUUGCCCCUGUUUUGAAUUUUCCCCUUGUACUCUUCGUACAACUCCAUGAGGAGUGUUUGCUCCACCACUGAAAAAGACUCCGCUCUGCCUUUUUUUCCAUGAUCUCGUCAUUUUGACAAUCGAUACGUUGGGGCUUUUUAUGUACCGCAGAGGCGCGCAUAGCCGCGGCUUGGAUCAGCCUGGCUAGAAUAAGCAUUGAUGAAAAACAGCUGAGCCUUGUUAGUGGAACAAGUCGCAGCUAAGAUUAAAGUGGCUGCUUAUUCAAGCCACGCUUACCGGCGAUAGCCCAGCCUUCUUUAGCCAGCUUCGUGUGCAGCGGCGCGGGGUAUGGGGGUUGCAGGGGCUGCGUGAUCACAACAUCUUGGUACUAUUUAGUAGCAGUGCAUGCCCUUUGUAAAAACCCUGGUAAAAACAGUUUUUCAGAACUGCUUACUUGUGCUUCCUACCCAUUCGGCCACUGUAAUAACCGUUGUUUUAGCCUUCACGCAACAUUUUUGUUCUUAUUCAUGAAACGCUUAAAUCGGGGACAGUUUCGGAGACAGCUUUUGCUGGGGACAGGUCAUCCAAUUCGGGGACUGUCCCCGGAAAUUGGUGACGUCUGGUCACCUUACACAACAGGGCUUCACAAACUUACAUCUUAACAACAAAAUUAGGGCCUAUUUAAUAAUAUCAAGUCAUCUAUACAGUAUGGUAAAGCAAUAGUGGAAACAUAACAAACCUUGCUUUGUACGUCUCAGAGUUGUGGCAUCAAUCUGGUGAGUGGGUAGUGCUUGGUUUCAAAUGCCCAAACAUCUACCCAAUGUGUUGGGUAGUCCACAAUAAACCAACAAAACUGUAUAGAAAUUUCAACCCAACAGCUAAUAACUCUGUUCCCAACAUAAAUAACCUUGUGAAGUGGGUACUCAGAAUACCCAACUCCAUGAAACUAACCCAAAUAAACUGAACAACAGGCUCAAACUAGUGGUUGGGUUUUGAUGUUCUCAUACAAUUAUUGCUAUCUAUCAGAUAUCAUUAUUGUAGUUAAGGUCUCCUAUUAUGGCAUUUUUUUAUCAAGUUUAAAUCAGUCCCAGAGGUCCCAGGAUAGUAAAUUUGAAGUUUGUUGUCUAAAACACUAGUUUAUUUGUGGAUAUCAGCCAGCCUGUACCCCCUCUUUUUGAGCUCCACUGGGAACGGGCUGAUUCUGUACCUGUACCUUUAAAUGAUAAUGAGCUGUGUGUAACCUUGCCUUUGCUCCCCAAGGCCACUCUGAGCUGCUGUUGUUGUGCCGUAGAAUGCACCCCCUGACAGGAACGCAGUUGAAAGGACAUAACAAGGUGAAUAAUCCAAGGUUUCCUUACCAUUGGAUGGAUUCAAAAGCGUGUGCCUUUAUGAUUUCAUUCAGGCUAUUCAGAUAUGCCGAAAACAAUAGUCCUCUGAUUUGGAAUAUUUGCUGUCCUGAAAAUAUGACGAUCUCUACCGUGACAGAUACUGUACAGUUUAUAUACCCAGGUGCACCUCUAUGUGUGCUUUUUUGAAAGACAUAAAAACAGAACGAAAGUUUGCUGCUCUAUUUGACAUGUUGUCAUGAUCCGACACUUGUGUUUUUUUUUAAUAUGAGAUCAUUUUCUUCCAUUUUAAGAAGCUAAUGAGUGGAUGGGAUGCAAGGGUGUAUUCUACGGCAUAACACCUACACCGGCACAGCCGUGGGGGUCCAGGUGUGGUGGUCUGGAGAUCUUCUGAGAACCUCUUCAGAGGUCUGCUAUAGAAGCGAGUCCAAAGAUUAAUACCAACGAUGGUAAACACACGCGAUUGCAGCCAAAGCACUCGUCAUAGGGGUGGUAGUAAAGCAACAUAUAAUGUUCAAACUUACAGCUUCCGCGUUUAAAGAUGAGUCCCUGUAUUUUUUUUUUCAUCCAUUCACUCCAAAUGGCCUGAAACAUGCUCUCCAAUAGGUCCUCAGCAGUCAUUUUAAUCCUAACCCCUAACCCUAACCCUAACCCCAACCCUAACC